This is a long non-coding RNA of Camellia sinensis, 729 nucleotides long. RefSeq lists it as uncharacterized. NCBI's taxonomy places the organism in Eukaryota, Viridiplantae, Streptophyta, Magnoliopsida, Ericales, Theaceae. The record is from RefSeq and is a predicted model, not a curated record.
CUGUCUCUCUCUUCAGCGUCUCUUUAUCUCUCCGAUGCUCCUCUCCCUUCUCUCGCGAUCGCCGGGAACCGGAGCAUCGAUUCCUACUCCUUUUGGUCACCAUUACCUGAGAUACAUGAUGAGUUCAUGAACACCGAUUCGGAGCCAAGAUCCAGAACAACUUCGAGCCAAGAUCGAAGAUCUCAACUCCAAAGUCUCCUUCUUUAGAUUCUGGACUCCCUUCGAUGAUUACCACCAUCGCUCUACUCGUUGCUUCUCCAACAUCGUUUUAGUCGCUUCCGAUGACGAUUCCGGUAAACCCGCGUCUAACCCCAUUCCCGUCUCUGCCCAUAAGGCUGUUCUAGACUAUGAUGGAGAUGGGAAGCUCUCAUUCUCUGAGUUCUCUGACUUAAUCAAUGCUUUUGGCAAUCAACUAGCAGCUGAUAAGGUAUGGGACCUUGUUACUGGAAGACUUUUACAAACUCGAGUUUUUCCACUACCAAUUACUGCAAUAGUUGUUGAUCCAACAAAGAUGAAGUUAUUUUCUGGUGGUAUAGAUUACUAGUGAUUUUUUUUUUGUAUACGGAGGACAUCAUUUUUGUAUGAUUAUCUGUUUGUAUGGAAUUAUUAUUUUGGGUUGGAUUAUAUUUGGUUUGUAUAGAAUUUGAAGUUACAAGACCAAAUUUUUGGAUGGUUGAAAGUGAAAUAGAAAUAGACAUAUGUAUUAUUUUGUUUAUAUACAGGGUGCAG